GGACUAAUAUGUCGGUCGUGCUUUUGUACGUACUGAUAUAAUUGGUUUCUCCCUUCUGAAGAACCUUGAUGUCAUUAAUUUGGUGUCUUGGGGAAUCAGGACUGUUACUUUGAAAAAAUUAGAGUGUUUAAAGCAGGCUCGCGCUUGAAUACAUUAGCAUGGAAUAAUGAAAUAGGACGU
Molecule: ribosomal RNA, 180 nt
Filed under: uncultured Glomeromycotina
Lineage: Eukaryota; Fungi; Glomeromycota
Description: partial small subunit ribosomal RNA
Rfam family: Eukaryotic small subunit ribosomal RNA (bases 22-180)
Source: RNAcentral